Long non-coding RNA from Marmota monax (woodchuck), 977 nucleotides. RefSeq lists it as uncharacterized. NCBI's taxonomy places the organism in Eukaryota, Metazoa, Chordata, Mammalia, Rodentia, Sciuridae. The record is from RefSeq and is a predicted model, not a curated record. The transcript has 3 exons.
GCAGGCUGUGGAGCAAGCGCAGGGACUGCAACAUGUGUCCUCACACUCAGGGCUGUGCCUACGGGUAUUACUGAUCUUCUGGUACAUAAAGAAUAAUGAAGUUAUCAAAAUGCGGGAAGUAGUAGAAGAUAAUUGCUGUCAGAAUCCGAGAAAGGCCAGUUUGGCCUGAACUUAGGCCUGGAUUAAGAAAUAAAUCACAAUAGACAUGACCAUUGUCUAAUCCUUCUUGCUGCCAUGGGGUAUGGCUGGGUCGUGCCACUUGGAUUCUAUUUUAUUAGUUAAUGAACAGCCUCAGACAUUAGCACCACUUGCAGUUCGGAUUAGCACUUUGUUAUGAUCUUUUCCCACUUAUUAAUCAAUAUCCCUAUCAAGUCAACUAUAAUUUUGAAUUUAUUCAUGCAUAUGCAUUCAUUCUACAACAUUCAAAAAGUACUAUAGUAGACUGAAAUUGUAAUGUUAAUUCUUCAUUAUUUAUACUAUAUUUAUACAUCCUUAUUCUUUUCAACAAUUCAUGGUGACAGGAACAUACUUUCAUAUCCCUCAUCUUUGGAUUUGGCUCUGUGUCUUGGUGUGGACAAUGGAAUAUAGUGCAAAUGACCUAAGCAGAACUUUGAAUUGUGUUUGUUCUUCUGUCAUCGCCAUGAUAAGAACAGCCCCUUUUCCACUAUCCAAUGGUCCUCAACAUAUGGUACACAGUACAGAAAUGCUCCAGCCAACUCAAAGACCUGCAGAUUAAGCAGGGUCCUCUGGAUGAUCUACACAUGUAUGAAUGGAAAAUAUUGUUGUUAUAACCAUUGAGCUUUAUGAUACAGACAGAAUUAUUGUCACAAUAUUGUCACAAAACCAAAUAGAAUUUAAUUCCUCUAGGUUCACAAUAUUAACAUUGACAUUUAAAAAUUAUUAAAUGUCAUUAAAAUAUAUGUAUAAAUAAACAAAUCACUGUAAAAUAAAGUUUGCAAAGAGACAAGCAACAGAGU